This 250-nucleotide ribosomal RNA is filed under the name uncultured bacterium. RNAcentral's name for it is "partial 16S ribosomal RNA". It matches the Rfam family "Bacterial small subunit ribosomal RNA", at positions 355 to 602 of the family's 1533-position model. The record is from RNAcentral.
UAAGGAAUAUUGGUCAAUGGUGGGAACACUGAACCAGCCAUCCCGCGUGCAGGACGAAGGCCCUCUGGGUUGUAAACUGCUUUUAACAGGAAAGAAACGAGUGGACUUGUCCGCUCCUGACGGUACCUGUGGAAUAAGCACCGGCUAACUCCGUGCCAGCAGCCGCGGUAAUACGGAGGGUGCAAGCGUUAUCCGGAAUCACUGGGUUUAAAGGGUGCGUAGGCGGCCUGGUAAGUCAGAGGUGAAAGCU